UCCCCCGUAGUGUAAUUGGCAGCACGAUGUCUUUUGGUGUCAUUAGUUCAGGUUCGAGCCCUGGCGGGGGAG
RNAcentral lists this transfer RNA (72 nucleotides) under Streptantibioticus silvisoli. RNAcentral's name for it is "tRNA-Gln". It matches the Rfam family "tRNA". Rfam says of the family: Transfer RNA (tRNA) molecules are approximately 80 nucleotides in length. Their secondary structure includes four short double-helical elements and three loops (D, anti-codon, and T loops). Further hydrogen bonds mediate the characteristic L-shaped molecular structure. tRNAs have two regions of fundamental functional importance: the anti-codon, which is responsible for specific mRNA codon recognition, and the 3' end, to which the tRNAs corresponding amino acid is attached (by aminoacyl-tRNA synthetases). tRNAs cope with the degeneracy of the genetic code in two manners: having more than one tRNA (with a specific anti-codon) for a particular amino acid; and 'wobble' base-pairing, i.e. permitting non-standard base-pairing at the 3rd anti-codon position. The record is from RNAcentral. Lineage: Bacteria; Bacillati; Actinomycetota; Actinomycetes; Kitasatosporales; Streptomycetaceae.